GAAGAAGUGUGCCCUCAGCAAAAAAAAUCGCGGCUAAUUUCUAAAAAACCAGCCUUGAUCGGGGAUUGCGAUUCCAGCGUGCGGGAAAAAGUUAUCCGAGGCCGUCUCAACUGUGUCAAUAAGCGAAUAAGACCAGGGGAACGUUAUCCCGGUGUGUGUUACCACUCUCCGGCUGCCCGCAAAGCCGUUUCGAUACCCAGGCACCCAAAAUCGAGAUGAAACCAUCCAAGAAAAUAGGCCACAGCAAACGGCCGGUGCCCCCAAUGGAAAAGAAAACGUCGGUUCUACUCGGGGCUGCCGUCUUACCCCGAGGCCACCUCCUUCCUUAUCAUUCCCAGCAAGAAAAGGCAUCAUCAAGAUUUUUUUCUGUUACCCGGAGGAAACGAAAUUCGGCUCGUCGAACAUCGGAAAGUAUUGCUUGCCUACUCAUCAAAAAAGGCAACGGGCCAUGAGCUUUUUGAUUCUGCCGCUGAGAUUGGUGGACUUUCCGGCAAGGCAGAUAUCAGCAGUUUGCGAGCAGGAAGAACCGUUUUCGAAUCGAAGCAAGUUCUCCGUAGCUAUUACACAAUUUCAUCAGGAACGUUGCUAGUUAGCGGUCAGUGACGACAAUUGUGCUGCUGCCGGAACCCGGAAUUUUGCCACUGGGAUCGAUUGACAGCAGACCACAGCGGAUUCCUAUAUGGUCCCCCUGCGAAAAGAGCCACUGCCCACCGAAAAGCAGGAAACAUUAGAUGCCCGUUCGCCGUAUAACAAAAAAAAAAUGCGCAGCUUUCUUUCGUCCUACCUCUUGUCGCUGAGAUCGGUGGGUUUUCCGGCUGGGCAGUCUUCAGCAGCAGCAGGAUAAGUGGAUCGAAGUGUUAUUGUUUUCCUGUUCGGAGGGUGAACGAGUCAGAAAUAAAAAUGUAUAAUUGUGAAAUCAAAUAAAUAACAAAAUGUAAUA
This is a long non-coding RNA of Uranotaenia lowii, 940 nucleotides long. RefSeq lists it as uncharacterized. The record is from RefSeq and is a predicted model, not a curated record. NCBI's taxonomy places the organism in Eukaryota, Metazoa, Arthropoda, Insecta, Diptera, Culicidae. The transcript has 4 exons.